AAUGAACGUUGGCGGCGUGGAUUAGGCAUGCAAGUCGUGCGGGAACCGUAGCUUGCUACGGGGAGAGCGGCGAAAGGGAUAGUAAUGUGUAGAUUAUCUGCCCCCUGGUCAGGGAUAGCGGUGGGAAACUGCCGGUAAUACCUGAUAAAUUCUCCGGAACAAAGGUGAGAUUCCGCCGGGGGAUGAGUCUACAUCCUACUAGCUUGUUGGUAAGGUAACGGCUUACCAAGGCUUAGAUGGGUACCGGGCGUGAGAGCGUGACCCGGAUCACUGGGACUGAGAUACUGCCCAGACACCUACGGGUGGCUGCAGUCGAGAAUCUUCGGCAAUGGACGAAAGUCUGACCGAGCGACGCCGCGUGCGGGACGAAGGCCUUCGGGUUGUAAACCGCUGUCAAGUUGGAGGAAAUGCGUGGGGGUCAUCCCCUGCGUUUGACCGAUAGCAAAAGGAAGGACGGGCUAAGUUCGUGCCAGCCGCCGCAGUAACAC
This 488-nucleotide ribosomal RNA is filed under the name uncultured bacterium. RNAcentral describes it as "bacterial SSU rRNA". It matches the Rfam family "Bacterial small subunit ribosomal RNA", at positions 29 to 526 of the family's 1533-position model. The record is from RNAcentral.